RNAcentral lists this transfer RNA (3225 nucleotides) under Heterocephalus glaber (naked mole-rat). RNAcentral describes it as "lncRNA (ENSHGLG00000038617.1)". The stretch from base 2883 to 2953 matches the Rfam family "tRNA". Lineage: Eukaryota; Metazoa; Chordata; Mammalia; Rodentia; Bathyergidae. The record is from RNAcentral.
ACAAAGUGGGUGGGGUGCGCUGAGGGGUGGACCAGCAUUGCCAGAUGUUCAGGAAUGUUGAUGAGACAGGAGGGUAAGAAGGGGAACCUUCCUUCAGGCAGAAGAACAGCAUGUGGUGAAGGUGGUGAAGAGCCUGGCCCCUCAGGAUGAGGGGUUCACAGCUAAGGGGUUGCCUUGCAUCUCAAAGAAGACUUUGGACUUGGACUUUUCAGCAAUGCUGAAACUGUUAAGACUUUGAUGACUCAGUUGGUUGAAUCCAUGGAUGAAGAACAUGGAUAUGGAGGGUCAGCUACACUUAUCUUUUGGAGAUAGGUCCUGAAGUACAUGUGGAUAAAAUAAUAUGAUGUCUAGAACUGGCUUCAAAAUCAUCCAGGAGAGAAGUGCCAGUAACCUUACCUAGAAUGUGGCUCCUCAUCUGGAGAAAUUCCACCCAAGUCUCCCAUGGAAGUUACUGAAGUUCCUGUGAUGCAGUGGCAGAUUCUCAGCACUUGGCUCUUGGCCUGACCUGAAUCUAAUGUUUACUUACCUUUAUGUCAGAGCUUUGGGAGGCUCGGGAAGCUGUCUGAAAUCCUUGAGCACUGCCAGAUCUUGGAGAUGAAGAGACACAGUUGUGUGGUAUGCGAGGAGAGGAAGCCAGCAGAGAACUGACAUGCCGCAUUCUUUCAGAGCUCCAGCUGGCAAAAGGCUGCAUUCCCUGAACACCACUGCCAAACCUCCCAGGUGGCAGUCUCCACCCUGGGUCCAGUCUUCCCCUGGUGGGGUGGAAAGACGUUCCAGGUCUAUCUUCCCUGUAACUAGAGGUGCUAAGAGGUCAGCUGUGCAGGAGAGUGCCUUAGACUUCUGAAACCUCAGCAACCUUCAGUACAGAAUUGGAUGUAUCUCCCUAGUGCUGUCAGAGGGGAUAUGUAUUUAACAUGCUUAAGAGUUUCUUAGAAUAUUACCCUCCUUCCUGUGCAGUUUUGUGGUUUUUAUCUUUCCUAACGACUUAGCCUUCUGCUUCCUACUUUUGGUUGUUAUUUCUUUUUUCUCUAUAAUUAGAUUCAGGAAAAAAAACCAUCAAAGACUUGUGUCCUGAGAAGUUAGGGAAUCUCCUUGGAAAGAAUCUGAAAAGGAGGAAUUCAAUGUUUGUUGACUGAAUUAAAUAGUUUUAUGUUGAUCUGAAUAGAGAAGUAAAACUAUCAAUAGGGUUUAAAACCCCUGGAUAUCAGGGAAACUAUUACUGAACGUAGUAGACUGUGUGUGUUACUUUAUUUCCAUUUUACAGGUUAAGAAAUUGAAGGUCAUGAAGUUAAAUAAUUCUAAGUGCCCUUUGUUAGUGCUUUAAUUAUCUUUUUAAUCUACAAUAGGGUCACUAUAUCUUUUGGUUUCUCAUUUCUUUUGGGCCAAUAUCUGUUAUUUACAAGCGAUAUUUUGCUCAGAACCUGUCCAUUUCCUACAGUGUUUUAAAAUUUACUGUCCUACACUUAUACCUAGUAUUUGCCUUGGGAUUUAUGUGUUUUAACUUUGUAAAUCAAUUUUAUUAAGGCCUACCUUGCACAUGAUCAAUUAUGCCUGUCUUAAGUGCAUGGGUCUGUGUGUUAUGACAAAGGUAUGGUAUAUGUACCUGUGUAUCAGUGCAUUCAAGACAUAGAACAUUUUUGUCACCCAUAGAAGAUUUUUUUGCUCUUUUAUGGUCAGCUCCCACCUCCAUUAAUCUGUUUUUUGUCAAUUUAGAUAUGUUUUCCCUUUUCUAGACUCAUAUAAAUGGAAUCAGACUGCCAUUCUCUUAUUUGUCUAGCAGUCUUAGAUUGAUCCACACUAUUGGCUGUAUUACAAAUUUGUCUUCUUUUUAUUGCUGUGUAGCAGUCUACCAAAUGGAUGAAUAUACUACAGUAUGUGUAGCAUUCUCUUGCUGUUUUCAGGGAUCACUGUGAAUAUGUAUUAGAUAGGCUUCAUACCAAAUUAUCACAAAACUUAGUGAUUUGAAACAAUAAAAAUAUUUAUAAUCUCACCUUUUUGUUGUGUCAGAAGCUUGGGUGCAGUUUAGCUGGCUGCUUCUGCUUCAUGGUUUCUUACAGAGCUGUGAGCAAAGCAUGGGCUGGGCCGCUCAUUCCUGCACUUGCCAUUAUUUGGUAAGAUGUGGUUUCUUGCUGUCUGCUGGAAUGAAGGCUUCCAUUUUCCUCCUGGCUGUUGGCCAGAGGCAUCACUCAGUUCUUGUCAUGUGGGCCUUUCCAUAGAGACACUCACAGCUUAGCCACUAGCUUCCUUAAAGCCAGUGAGAUAGAGACGGAGAGAAAGAGAGAGAGAGAGAGAGAGAGAGAGAGCGCUCAAACAAUAUGAAAAGCCUAGAAUUUUGGAACUUAAUCUUGGGACUUACAGCUAAUCACUUUUGUCAUUUUCAUUUGCAAGUAGGUCACCAAGUUCAGCCCAUACUCCAGAGAAGGUUAUUUCGCUAAUAUUUGAAUUCUAAGCAGUGGGGAAUCAUUAAAAUCCAUUAAGACAGAUUCUAGGGAGGUAGAGGCUUCCUACUAUGGUAUACAACUGCUGUGAACAUUUGUGUACUAGUGCUGUGGUUUGGAUACAUGUCUCAAGAUAUGUUUCCCAAGGUCCUUGUACUAAGGCGUGAUCUCCAGGAUGAUGCUAUGAGAGGUGGUGGAACACUUAGGAGGUGAGACUUCAUAGCAGGUCCUUAGGUCAUUUGCUGGUGUGUCCUUAAAGGAAUGUGGGACCCUGGUCUCACCUCUCUUUCUGUCUGGCUUUGCAUCUUGUCUCAUGAGAUGAGCAGUUUGUUUUUCAGUGCAUUCUUGCCUUAAAGUGUUAUCCUCUUCAGGGAACCACAGAAAUAAGGCUGCUGACUUUGAACCUCUGAAAUGGUAAGCCAAAAUAAACUUUUUCUCUUAGGUGUGGGUGUAGCUCAGUGGUAGAGUGCUUGCUUAGCAUGCAUGGGGCCCUGGGUUCCAUCCCCAGUACUACAAAAAACAAACAGAUCCCCCCACUUUUCUCUCUAUGAGCUAAUUGUCUUGAGUAUUUCAUUCUAGUGAAAGCUGACCAAUAUAACAUGUCAUUUCUCUUAGGUAAAUGCCUAUGAAUGGAAUUGUUGCAUUUUGUGAUACUUUACUUUCUCUCUCUCUCUUUCCUCUUACAGAGACCAUCUGUAUUGUCAGUCUUUUUAAAAUUUCAGGUAUUAUAAGGAAUGUGAAAAUGGCCAUUAUUGUGAUUGUAGUUUGCAUUUCUCUGAUGAUUAAA